Molecule: ribosomal RNA, 252 nt
Filed under: uncultured Bacteroidales bacterium
Lineage: Bacteria; Pseudomonadati; Bacteroidota; Bacteroidia; Bacteroidales
Description: partial 16S ribosomal RNA
Rfam family: Bacterial small subunit ribosomal RNA
Source: RNAcentral
UACGGAGGAUGCGAGCGUUAUCCGGAUUUAUUGGGUUUAAAGGGUGCGUAGGCGGACGCUUAAGUCAGCGGUAAAAUUGCGGGGCUCAACCUCGUCGAGCCGUUGAAACUGGGUGCCUUGAGUGGGCGAGAAGUACGCGGAAUGCGUGGUGUAGCGGUGAAAUGCAUAGAUAUCACGCAGAACUCCGAUUGCGAAGGCAGCUUACUAAGCCAUAACUGACACUGAAGCACGAAAGCGUGGGGAUCAAACAGG